GGCCCCGUAGCUCAAUUGGCAGAGCAGGUGACUCUUAAUCACUCGGUUGUAGGUUCGAGUCCUACCGGGGUCA
RNAcentral lists this transfer RNA (73 nucleotides) under Anaerolineae bacterium. RNAcentral's name for it is "tRNA-Lys". It matches the Rfam family "tRNA". From Rfam's summary of the family: Transfer RNA (tRNA) molecules are approximately 80 nucleotides in length. Their secondary structure includes four short double-helical elements and three loops (D, anti-codon, and T loops). The record is from RNAcentral. Lineage: Bacteria; Bacillati; Chloroflexota; Anaerolineae.